UGGGGAAUAUUGGACAAUGGACCGAGAGUCUGAUCCAGCAAUUCUGUGUGCACGAUGAAGUUUUUCGGAAUGUAAAGUGCUUUCAGUUGGGAAGAAAGAAAUGACGGUACCAACAGAAGAAGUGACGGCUAAAUACGUGCCAGCAGCCGCGGUAAUACGUAUGUCACGAGCGUUAUCCGGAUUUAUUGGGCGUAAAGCGCGUCUAGGUGGUUAUGUAAGUCUGAUGUGAAAAUGCAGGGCUCAACUCUGUAUUGCGUUGGAAACUGUAUAACUAGAGUACUGGAGAGGUGAGCGGAACUACAAGUGUAGAGGUGAAAUUCGUAGAUAUUUGUAGGAAUGCCGAUGGGGAAGCCAGCUUACUGGACAGAUACUGACGCUAAAGCGCGAAAGCGUGGGUAGCAAACAGG
This 407-nucleotide ribosomal RNA is filed under the name bacterium. RNAcentral's name for it is "partial 16S ribosomal RNA". It matches the Rfam family "Bacterial small subunit ribosomal RNA", at positions 355 to 776 of the family's 1533-position model. The record is from RNAcentral.